CACGUAGGGUCCGAGCGUUGUCCGGAAUUACUGGGCGUAAAGCGUGCGCAGGCGGUUGGGUCAGUCGCUGGUGAAAGCCCCACGCUCAACGUGGGAAUGGCCAACGAGACGGCCCGACUGGAGGCAGGGAGAGGCCGGUGGAAUUCCGGGUGUAGUGGUGAAAUGCGUAGAGAUCGGGAGGAACAUCUGUGGCGAAGGCGGCCAUCUGGACCAGCACUGACACUGAGGCACGAAAGCGUGGGGAGCAAACAGG
This 253-nucleotide ribosomal RNA is filed under the name uncultured bacterium. RNAcentral describes it as "partial 16S ribosomal RNA". It matches the Rfam family "Bacterial small subunit ribosomal RNA", at positions 524 to 776 of the family's 1533-position model. The record is from RNAcentral.